GUAUUGUUGAGAGCCAUUCAUUAUUAUAUUCUAAUCCUUAGAUUGCAAAAUAAUUCACUGUACCUGUCUGGGAUUCUGGCUGUGGGGAUGAAAAUGGAUGGAAGCUGCCUGAAGAGGAUGACUGCUGUGGUGGGCUGGUUUCAGGAGUAGGGCUCGGUGUGACGGU
Long non-coding RNA from Etheostoma spectabile (orangethroat darter), 166 nucleotides. RefSeq lists it as uncharacterized. The record is from RefSeq and is a predicted model, not a curated record. The transcript is spliced from 3 exons. Lineage: Eukaryota; Metazoa; Chordata; Actinopteri; Perciformes; Percidae.